UACGUAGGGUGCGAGCGUUAAUCGGAAUACUGGGCGUAAAGCGUGCGCAGGCGGUUUGUAAGCCAGAUGUGAAAUCCCCGGGCUUAACCUGGGAAUGGCAUUUGGGACUGCAAGGCUCGAGUGCGGCAGAGGAGACUGGAAUUCCUGGUGUAGCAGUGAAAUGCGUAGAUAUCAGGAGGAACACCGAUGGCGAAGGCAGGUCUCUGGGCUGACACUGACGCUCAUGCACGAAAGCGUGGGGAGCAAACAGG
Molecule: ribosomal RNA, 251 nt
Filed under: uncultured bacterium
Lineage: Bacteria
Description: partial 16S ribosomal RNA
Rfam family: Bacterial small subunit ribosomal RNA
Source: RNAcentral